UUUUUUUUUUCCUUUUUAAUUGUUCAUUGGAAUUGAGGUAAGGUAGUGGCAGGGUUUGUACAUGUGAGUACGGGUGCUCACAGAUGUCAGAAAGAAGGUAUCAGAUCCCCAGGAGCUGGAGUUAUAGACAGUUGUAAUCCUCUUGAUGUCAGUGCUGGGAAUCAAAUGCCAGUCUUCUACAAGAGCAUCAAGUACUCUUACUGAAGUGUUUCUCCAGGGGCCCUUACCCUGAAUAUGGUAAUAAGCUCCUAUGUAAUGUAUAGAGUCACCAUUAUGUUUGCAUUACCUUUAACUUUAUGUUGUGUAGUACGUGACUGUAUGUAUGUAUUCAAGGAAAAUUAAGGAUUUUGUCAUUCUAGAAUAUCUAGCAUCCUUGAUUCAGAUUGUGUUGUGAUUUAGCAUCCAAUUCAUAUAAUAUAAACAGACUAGAUUAUAGUUUACCUUUAAGAAAGAGUAUCUCAAGAGAAAUUCAUAUAAAUUUUAUAGUAUUCUUACUAAAGUAUUCAUACAGUUGUUCAUUUUAGUAUCCUUGGUGCUAACAUAGGAACAUAUGUAUAGGUUCAAAGGUCCAAUGUCAUAGCUUGCAUUUUUGUGCAUGGCUUUUGUUAAUGUUUUUAAAGGCACCGGGUUUCAUUCUGUAGCUCUACCUUGACCUUGUACUCACAGAGAUCCCUGUGUUUCUGCCUCCCUAGUGCUGAGAUUAAAGGUGAAUGAAUACAAAGCCCAGCAUCCAUAUUUUUUAAAAGGAGAAACUUGACCUAGAGGGAAUGUGAGUUUUUGGAGAGCUUUUCUGUGGUUUUGUUUGCUGUGUUCAAGUCAAACAACUGGUGUGUGUCAGGAUCUCAGUUUAACAAUUGGUUUCCCACAAAAUUAGAGCGUUAAAUACAUUACAAUAGCGCACAACAGUGUGCUUGUCUUAUAAUUCUGAAGACUGAAUGAAUCUAUUGAUUUGUUUCUCAUUCUUCAGAACACCUGAGGCCAGAAGACAGUUUGCUCUGCAUUUUCCAGUUCAGAAAGACAGAAAUGAUGAUGUUUUCUAGUUUCAUACUUUGAAGCCCGUAAUGACAAUACUUAACCCGUUGCC
RNAcentral lists this long non-coding RNA (1084 nucleotides) under Mus musculus (house mouse). RNAcentral's name for it is "long non-coding RNA chr13:9102988-9104072". Lineage: Eukaryota; Metazoa; Chordata; Mammalia; Rodentia; Muridae. The record is from RNAcentral.